RNAcentral lists this ribosomal RNA (463 nucleotides) under uncultured bacterium. RNAcentral describes it as "partial 16S ribosomal RNA". It matches the Rfam family "Bacterial small subunit ribosomal RNA", at positions 28 to 507 of the family's 1533-position model. The record is from RNAcentral.
GACGAACGCUGGCGGCGUGCUUAACACAUGCAAGUCGAACGGGAAGGCCCUGCUUUUGUGGGGUGCUCGAGUGGCGAACGGGUGAGUAACACGUGAGUAACCUGCCCUUGACUUUGGGAUAACUUCAGGAAACUGAGGCUAAUACCGGAUAGGAGCUCCUGCUGCAUGGUGGGGGUUGGAAAGUUUCGGCGGUUGGGGAUGGACUCGCGUCUGAUCAGCUUGUUGGUAGGGUAGUAGCUUAGCAAGGCGUUGACGCGUAGCUGGGCUGAGAGGGUGACCAGCCACACUGGGAAUGAGACACAGCCCCGACUCCGACGGAAGGGAGGAGAGGGGAAUAUUGGACGCUGGGCCAAAGUCUGAUAACGCAAUGCCGGGUGAGUGAGGAUGGCCUUAGGAUUCUAAAGCUGUUUUAGACGAGAUGCUAAUGACAGUACCGGGAGAAUAAGCUCCGGCUAACUACGUG